Molecule: transfer RNA, 76 nt
Filed under: Actinomycetales bacterium
Lineage: Bacteria; Bacillati; Actinomycetota; Actinomycetes; Actinomycetales
Also listed under: 3 other names
Description: tRNA-Arg
Rfam family: tRNA
About the family: Transfer RNA (tRNA) molecules are approximately 80 nucleotides in length. Their secondary structure includes four short double-helical elements and three loops (D, anti-codon, and T loops).
Source: RNAcentral
GCCCCCGUAGCUCAGGGGAUAGAGCGCCGGUUUCCGGUACCGAAGGUCGCAGGUUCGAAUCCUGCCGGGGGCGCCA